AACGAACGCUGGCGGCAUGCCUAACACAUGCAAGUCGAACGAAACCUUCGGGUCUGGUGGCGCACGGGGCGGUAACGGGGGGGGAUCUGCCCUUGGGUUCGGAAUGACAGGGAGGAAUUAGUGCGAAUACGGGAGGAUGUCUUCGGACCAAAGAUUGAUCGCCCAGGGAUGAGCCCGCGUAGGAUUAGCUAGUUGGUGGGGUAAUGGCCUACCAAGGCGAAGAUCGUUAGAUGGUCUCAGAGGAUGAUCACCCACACUGGUACUGAGACACGGCCCAGAAUCUUACGGGAGGCAGGAGUGGGUAAUAUUGGCAAACCGGCGCAAGCCAGAUCCACCACUGCCGGGAGAGUGAUGAAGGCCUUAGGGUUGUACAGCUCUUUUACCCGGGAUGAUAAUGACGGUACCGGCAGAAUAAGCUCCGGCUAACUCCGUG
This 433-nucleotide ribosomal RNA is filed under the name uncultured bacterium. RNAcentral describes it as "partial 16S ribosomal RNA". It matches the Rfam family "Bacterial small subunit ribosomal RNA", at positions 29 to 507 of the family's 1533-position model. The record is from RNAcentral.